AUUGAACGCUGGCGGCAUGCUUUACACAUGCAAGUCGAACGGCAGCGCGGGCUUCGGCCUGGCGGCGAGUGGCGAACGGGUGAGUAAUGCAUCGGAACGUGCCCAGUAGUGGGGGAUAGCCCGGCGAAAGCCGGAUUAAUACCGCAUACGACCUGAGGGUGAAAGCGGGGGACCGAAAGGCCUCGCGCUAUUGGAGCGGCCGAUGUCGGAUUAGCGAGGUGGUGGGGUAAAGGCUUACCAAGGCGACGAUCCGUAGCUGGUCUGAGGGGACGACCAGCCAACAGGGGCUGGAGCAACGCCCCAGCUCCCUUGGGGGGGAAGGAGGGGGAAAUUUGGGCAAAGGGGGGAAACCCUGACCCGCCCAGUCCGCGGGGGGGAAGAAGGCUUUGGGUUUGAAAACCGCUUUUGUUCGGGAAGAAAUCCUUUGGGCUAAAACCCCGGGGGGAUGACGGUACCGGAAAAAUAAGCACCGGCUAACUACGU
RNAcentral lists this ribosomal RNA (483 nucleotides) under uncultured bacterium. RNAcentral describes it as "partial 16S ribosomal RNA". It matches the Rfam family "Bacterial small subunit ribosomal RNA", at positions 29 to 506 of the family's 1533-position model. The record is from RNAcentral.